CGUUUCGGCGGUGGCUGGAUCACAGGGGGCACCCGAGUCUCACUGGAAUGUGGCCGUCUUCCCAUAGCGGGUGUCAGGCCUCUACGGUGCCUCUGGUCGUCGGCUCGAGCCUCUCCUAAGAGUCGGGUUGCUUGGGAAUGCAGCCUAAAGACGGGUGGUAAACUCCAUCCAAGGCUAAAUACUGACGCGAGACCGAUAGCGGACAAGUACCGCAAGGGAAAGUUGAAAAGAACUUUGAAGAGAGAGUUCAAGAGUACGUGAAACCGUUUAGAGGGAAACGGAUGGGACCGCAAGUUGGUCGAACCGUGGGAUUCAACCCGUUUGGUUUGGUCAUGGAUCGUGGUGGUGGACGGCUAUCGGAAGGCCAGCAAUGGCCGUACGACGUCCGCUGCUUACAGAGAAACCUGACGCCAACGGGUGCACUUUCCACGGAGAGACAGCCGCGACCGGUUCACCGGCCGUCAGAAGCCGUGCGGGGAAGGUAGUUGGCUUGAGGGCUUGUCCCGCUUGCCAAUGUUAUAGCCCCGCCGAUGGCGUUGGCCGGCUGGUGGACCGAGGAGAAAACACCGCCUCUAGCAUGCCGGGGAAGACGGCGUUGCGCCGCCGCCCAUCGACUGGGUUUGGACUGACUCUUCUGCCAGUCCGAUCCGACUGUGGGUGGUGGUACGCGCGUCGCCACCCGGUGGCCUCGUUCCCGAGACUGUUCGGAGAGAGGAAGGUCAGCGGCGAAGACACUGUCGGCACCCCAUCCGACCCGUCUUGAAACACGGACCAAGGAGUCUAACGUGUGCGCAAGUCACUGGGCGCAAUGAACCCCAAAGGCGCAAUGAAAGCAAAUCUCAGCUCGUCUGAGAGAGGCGGGAUCCUGACUCCUACGCGGGUCGGGCGCACCGCCGGCCCCUCUCGU
RNAcentral lists this ribosomal RNA (907 nucleotides) under Poeobius meseres. RNAcentral's name for it is "eukaryotic LSU rRNA". It matches the Rfam family "Eukaryotic large subunit ribosomal RNA", at positions 149 to 774 of the family's 3401-position model. Lineage: Eukaryota; Metazoa; Annelida; Polychaeta; Terebellida; Flabelligeridae. The record is from RNAcentral.